This 490-nucleotide ribosomal RNA is filed under the name uncultured bacterium. Its description in RNAcentral is "partial 16S ribosomal RNA". It matches the Rfam family "Bacterial small subunit ribosomal RNA", at positions 28 to 507 of the family's 1533-position model. The record is from RNAcentral.
GAUGAACGCUAGCUACAGGCUUAACACAUGCAAGUCGAGGGGCAGCAUGGUCUUAGCUUGCUAAGGCCGAUGGCGACCGGCGCACGGGUGAGUAACACGUAUCCAACCUGCCGUCUACUCUUGGACAGCCUUCUGAAAGGAAGAUUAAUACAAGAUGGCAUCAUGAGUCCGCAUGUUCACAUGAUUAAAGGUAUUCCGGUAGACGAUGGGGAUGCGUUCCAUUAGAUAGUAGGCGGGGUAACGGCCCACCUAGUCUUCGAUGGAUAGGGGUUCUGAGAGGAAGGUCCCCCACAUUGGAACUGGGACACGGUCCAAACUCCUACGGGAGGCAGCAGUGAGGAAUAUUGGUCAAUGGGCGAGAGCCUGAACCAGCCAAGUAGCGUGAAGGAUGACUGCCCUAUGGGUUGUAAACUUCUUUUAUAAAGGAAUAAAGUCGGGUAUGGAUACCCGUUUGCAUGUACUUUAUGAAUAAGGAUCGGCUAACUCCGUG